GUUGUAAAGCACUUUCAGUGGGGAAGAAAAGCCUGGGGUUAAUACCCCCGGGGUCUUGACGUUACCCACAGAAGAAGCACCGGCUAACUCCGUGCCAGCAGCCGCGGUUAUACGGAAGGGUGCAAGCGUUAAUCGGAAUCACUGGGCGUAAAGCGCACGUAGGCGGCGAAGUCCAGUCAGAUGUGAAAGCCCCGGGCUCAACCUGGGAACGGCAAUUGAUCCUGCCUUGGCUCGAAUUAGGUAAAAGGGGGUGGAAUUCCAGGGAGAACCGUGAAAAGCCGAGAUAUCUGGAGGACACUCAGUGGCGAAGGCGGCCCCCUGGGACCAAGCCGACAGCUGAGGUGCGAAAGCCGGGGGGAGCCAACACGAAUAGAUACCCGGGUAGUCCCCACCGUUAAACGAUAUCGAAUAGACCUGGGGCUCAUAUAAGAGAUUAGUGGCGCAGCACACGCGAUAAGUCGACCGCCUGUGGAGUACGCCCGCAAGGAGGUUACUCAAAGGAGAUUGACGCGGGGCCCGCACAACCAGGUGGAGCAUCCGCUGUAAUUAGAUGCUACGCGGAGAACCUCACCAGCCGUCGACAUCAUCGGAACUUGGCAGAGAAGCCUCGGUGCCUUCGGGAGCACGAGAGAACAGCAGCUGCAUGACAGUCGUCAGCUCGUCUCGUCAGAAGAUGGGGUAAGUACCCGUAACGAGCGCAACCCUCGUCCUUAGUAGCCAGCGGUUCGGCCGGGAACUCUAAGGAGACUGCCGGCGAUAAACCGGAGGAAGGUGGGGAUGACGUCAAGUCAUCAUGGCCCUUAUGGGCUGGGCUACACACGCGCUACAAUGGUCGGUACAGAGGGCUUCAAAACANGCGAUGUGGAGCCAAUCCCAGAAAACCGAUCGUAGUCCGGAUUGCAGUCUGCAAACUCGACUGCAUGAAGUCGGAA
Molecule: ribosomal RNA, 932 nt
Filed under: uncultured organism
Description: bacterial SSU rRNA
Rfam family: Bacterial small subunit ribosomal RNA
Source: RNAcentral